ACUAUGCGGGUUUACAUAUAGGGUCUUAGGUCUGCUAUGGGUCUCCUAAUGGGUCCCUAUAGGGCUCUAUGGGGUCCCUAUAGGGCUCUAGGGGUUAUUAUAGGGGUCCUAUAUGGGUCUAUGGUCUCUAUUGGUUAUUUAUAGGUCUAUAGGUCUCUAUAGGGUUUAUGGGGGCUAUGGGUUAUAUAGGUUCCAUAGGGUUCCUAUGGGGUCGCAUGGGGCAGUGGGGGGGCGGGGUCUCUAUGGGGUCCCUAUGGGGUCCCUAUGGGGUCGCUAUGGGGUUAUUAUAGGGUCUCUAUAGGGUUCCUAUAGGGUUCCUAUGGGGUCGCUAUGGGGCAGUGGGGGGGCGGGGUCUCUAUGGGGUCCCUAUGGGGUUAUUAUAGGGUCCCUAUAGGGUCUCUAUGGGGUCUAUGGGGUCCUAUGGGUUUAUGGGUCCUAUGGGGUCGCCUAUGGGCUCCUAUGGGCUUCUUAUAGGGUUCUAUAGGGUCUCUAUGGGUCGCUAUGGGGAGUGGGGGGCGGGAUCUCUAGGGUCAUAUAUGGUCUCUAUGGGUUUAUUAAUAGUGGGUCCUAUGGGGUUCUAUGGGGUUUAUGGGUCCCGAAUGGGGCAUGGGGGUUCGGGUCGCACUCGGUCCGGGUUGUGGGGGGGCGUUGGGGGGGUUCUCGAGGGCGGCGGCGGCGGCAGCGGCGGAUCUGAGCAUGUCCCGGCCCCACGACGAGGGGGAGCGACACGGGGGGAGCAGCAGCAGCAGCAGCAACAACAGCAGCACAGACACAGAAAGAAAUGGACCCGACACGAACCACCAGGUGAGCUAUGGGGCGCUAUGGGGCGCUAUGGGGC
This 838-nucleotide long non-coding RNA is filed under the name Coturnix japonica (Japanese quail). Its description in RNAcentral is "lncRNA (ENSCJPG00005002862.1)". Lineage: Eukaryota; Metazoa; Chordata; Aves; Galliformes; Phasianidae. The record is from RNAcentral.